Long non-coding RNA from Gasterosteus aculeatus aculeatus (three-spined stickleback), 624 nucleotides. RefSeq lists it as uncharacterized. The record is from RefSeq and is a predicted model, not a curated record. Lineage: Eukaryota; Metazoa; Chordata; Actinopteri; Perciformes; Gasterosteidae.
UGACGUCAUUGGUCGGCAGUUGGCACAAGUUCGUAAAGAAGACACUCCGGACCAACAUUAAUAUUACAGGCACGCAUUUUAAAACUGCCUUUUGAAGUGACAUAUGGGGACUAAAACCUUCGGUGCCCAACAGCCGCGUGUUAUAAACCAAAGCUAUAACAGAAAUAACUAAAUUGAAUGUCGAGUGGUUCCCCAAGACUAAUAGGAAACUGCCAACAGUUAACGUUAGCUAGCGUUAGCUUUACGGGGAAGACGCCAUGUUUUUGGGGACGGCACCGGGUCUUUCUGAACGUUGUAAGCAGCGGGACAACGCUGUCAAACGGGAUUCAUUUAAUGUUUAACCAAAAGAGAAAUCAUACUCACCAGCAAGUUGAGGGACAAAAGCCGCCGAGGUCCAGUGGAGGGUCAAGGACGGGCCACGGACCCCUGCCUCUCUGCUCUGAGCUCCAAAGCCCCAGAGCCUUCGCCUUCAUCGCAACGCGGCCACACUGCUACUCUGAUGACAAAUGCAUGUGUGUGCGCAGCAACACGUCAUCAGAGUCCUGCGCUGUUCUCCUCCGCCACCUCCUCCAUCUUCUCCAACAAAUCCUCUAUGGAGGAGCUGCUCCUCCUGUUGCUCAGCAC